Molecule: unclassified non-coding RNA, 253 nt
Filed under: Alphaproteobacteria bacterium
Lineage: Bacteria; Pseudomonadati; Pseudomonadota; Alphaproteobacteria
Description: contains 16S-23S intergenic spacer region
Rfam family: Bacterial small subunit ribosomal RNA
Source: RNAcentral
UACGGAGGGGGCUAGCGUUGUUCGGAAUCACUGGGCGUAAAGCGCACGUAGGCGGAUCAGCAAGUCAGGGGUGAAAUCCCGGGGCUCAACCUCGGAACUGCCUUUGAAACUGCUGGUCUUGAGUUCGAGAGAGGUGAGUGGAAUUCCUAGUGUAGAGGUGAAAUUCGUAGAUAUUAGGAAGAACACCAGUGGCGAAGGCGGCUCACUGGCUCGAGACUGACGCUGAGGUGCGAAAGCGUGGGGAGCAAACAGG